GUAAGACUUCAGCAGCACAUAUACUAAAAUUGGAAUGAUACAGAGAAGAUUAGCAUGGCUCCUGCGUAAGGAUGACAUGCAAAUUCAAGAAGCAUCCCAUAUACAU
This 106-nucleotide small nuclear RNA is filed under the name Bos grunniens (domestic yak). Lineage: Eukaryota; Metazoa; Chordata; Mammalia; Artiodactyla; Bovidae. The record is from RNAcentral.